RNAcentral lists this transfer RNA (75 nucleotides) under archaeon. RNAcentral describes it as "tRNA-Arg". It matches the Rfam family "tRNA". Rfam says of the family: Transfer RNA (tRNA) molecules are approximately 80 nucleotides in length. Their secondary structure includes four short double-helical elements and three loops (D, anti-codon, and T loops). The record is from RNAcentral.
GGCUCGGUAACUCAGCCUGGAUAGAGUGUCAGCCUUCUAAGCUGAAAGUCGCAGGUUCGAAUCCUGUCCGGGCCA